UUGUGUUAUUAAAGGGAAGAAUAACAGGUAAUUGAGGAAAUAUCAAAAAUGCUCCUUUUUGUCUCAGCUGGCUGGAGGGGCGUGUCGGUGUCUGUGUUUGAUUGACAGCAGCUGGCAGGCUGCAUGAGCACCGGUAGGGGAACAGAGACAAAAUAAAUCAACUUGUGCUGCAGCUUACAAACCAUGGGCAGACAGUGUGUUGGUACCAGAGGUACUGAAGAGUAAGGACCACACCAGCGUCUAAACAGACAGCUCCAACAUCCCACAAACCCCUGCUCCUCUAAUAGGAAAUGCUACACACAGGCCCAAAGCUGAGUUUACGAUGAUGCUCUUCCUCAGGUUCAUGAAGUCCUCUCAAGACAAACUGGAUAAAAGUGAACAUGAGGAAGACCAUGCAUGAAUGCUGAAACUGUUACACAGGAUCCUUUGUCUUCAACAAAAACAGCACAUGGGGAAUUUGCACGGGCACUGAAUCCAGUCCACGCUUUUCCUAAUGUGGCGACAACUUUUUUUAGCCACCUGGAGGGCUUUUAUAGUCUAGAGUUAAAACCUACACAUGGUGUAAUGUGACUACUGUAAGGCCAACAAAAAUUAAUAACUAAAGAAUUUAGUGUUUACCUACCACAAUUGUAUUCCUGGCAGCGUGGAGAGGGAUUUAAAACGCCAUUUAUAAUUUCACGUUGUAAUUUGACAAUAAGCAACUAAAUAUAGUAUAAAAAAGGUUGCAUUGUUCGGACUUGGACUCAUGACCUUUAGUAUUUAUAAAAAUAUUGGCUACGAGUGGUGUGCAGACAAGUGGUGUUGUUGCUCUUAUAGCUGCAAACUAGUGCAGACGUUUAGGUGAUUUUCAGGUGACAUUGAAAGCAACGGUUUAAAUAUGUUUAAUGUGUUUAAUGGUGAAAAAUCCACCCCAUGUUGCAUUGAUAGCUUGGGCAACACAGAGUGUAAUGGCUUCUGUUAGGUUUCCACCAUGCAUUGGUUAAUUUAACCUCCAUUACACCCAUUGAAUUUGACCUAAUGCUGUAAAAUUAUGCUGUAAAUCACGGUACACCGUAAGAUGGACUGAUGCAAAUGGUGCUGCCUUUCCAAUUGAAAUGCUACUUGGUUUGGAUGUGUUUCAGUGAUACAUUUACUAGUUUAUCUUAGAAUUAAAUAACAAUGUCUCUGAUGUUAAAUCACAUAAAGGAACAUUAUCAAGUAACCUUUUAACAAGACAGCUUUAUUGGAUAGAUAAAAAUACAGUAGGAUAGAUUCACCUCAUGUGAAGCUCUGGUAAGUAACACACGUUAACGUUUUCCAUCACAAGACUUCCUCCUCUCCUGCCAUGUGCCUCAUCACGCCACUCUGUAGUCUAAUAUUUCAUCAGCCGUUUGACUCACUGUAAAACUGUAAAGCAGGCACGCUGACAAAUAGAUGUAAUCUCUGUGAAGCCCGUGAAAGACCUUUUUUAAACCCCACUUAAGUUAAAAAUCAGGUGCUGUUGCAGAAACUUUACCACACGUUUCAGAAUCAAAAGGUUUCACAUCUUCAAAAACAAAGAUAUCAAAGCUGCUCCAUCACCUCGGGCAACUAAACAGCUUCACGCUCCUGAAAUUGAUUUUUCUCACUGAACUCUGGGGAAAAUGAUGUGAGAUACACCUGACUAAAGUGAAAAGUCGAAAGGCUUGUGCAACAUCCUUGAUAAGAUUUUCAUUUACUGCUUUUAUUUAUUUUAGAUAUACAGUAUUACUUUGAUAGUCUGUGUUGCAGAGCAUUGCGUUUUGUUGUGCUGUCGUCUUGUUUUUGUGUUUUUGCAUCGCAUCAGGUUGCUUUGUGCUGCAAUACAAAUGCAUAAAACUGAGUAGGAAAUUUCAUUAAAGGAAAAAUAAUUACAGAAAGGGUGACAAUCACUGCAGAUGCACUUAAAAAUCUGAAAAAAUCUCAGCUUGGAUUUGGAGACUACACAUUUUUAUCAGCAAGCCUAGGUCACAGUCUGUGGGUGUGGAGUUGUGAAAUACAUGGAUAUUCAGGGAGGUUCUGAUGAAAUACCCUAUUGUGUUGCAUUAUGGGAAAUGUAGGAUUCAUUGUCUUUGGAGGGCUUGACUCACACUUGAGACUGAAAAUCUGAAUAUUUUAUGCUCUGCUGCUUCUAUUUUGACAAUUCUUUUUUUAAUCUGUCUCGUCUUUUUAUGGUAGUGCAAUACUAAAUCACUGCGUGCCCCUUUAAAUAUCUUUAUCUUUGUAAGCAUGUUUUUAUGGUGUACUCAUCUGGAUCAGUGAGUCAGUCAGUGUAGGAAUGACUUCGCAAGGAUAUAAAACAGGAAAUGCGUACUCAAACGGACUAGACUCUGCAUAAAAAUUAAACUGUUAGAAGAAAAACAAUAUCAUCAAUCCUAUUUAUCAGAAAAUAAAUGCUCAGAGGACAGUACCGUGUAUCUUUACUGAAUCUCUACCAGCCUUUAAAAUCACAGCCACAAAUGAGACAAAAAUGUUCCAGUAACAUUUGAAGAUUAGAUCUGGUUCAUUUCAUUUCCAGCAGGUAUAACUCACUUAUGACUUAAUUAUGACUCUUUUCCAUUAACAACAGCAAAGGAGGAAACAGUGUGAUGUGAGUUGUUAUAGAGCCACACAGUCCACAGAGGGAGGAGGUUGUGGUGGUUGGAUGGGCCAAAAAAGCUUUCCUCUCGAGAUGUGUGUUAAGAUAUAUCGAAAACUACUCUUUAGAUAAAAGUGUCUGUUUUUUCCACAAAAAAGUUUAAUUACCUAGUUAGAAAUUCAUAAAAUUAAAUCAGCUUCCAUUAAUAUGUAAUUAUUGUUCAUUUCAAACGUUUAACAAGAUGUUUCCUACUUCACUGAAAAGUCCAUUCUCAGUGUUUUUGCACUGGAGGCUUCAGGUUUCCAUUUCAUACUUGUCUAUGUUGCAUAUUGGCCCACAACUGGCUUUCAAACUAGUUGAGAUGUCACAAAAUCAUCUUGUACAUUCAAGCUCAGCUCCCCUGGAGCCAGUGUUUUUUUUUUUUUUUUUUUCCUGUAUAAAUUUAUAUUUUCCUGUAUAUUUAGGUUAAUAAUAAUUUGAUAAUUUGUGUCUAAUAAACACAAUGCUGUCUAUUCCUGCUAUGGCCAUCCAUGCGUUGGGCGCACUCAACGCAUGUUACGCACUUUGCAUUGUCUUUUGAGUGAACUCCUUCUGGCUAACAAGUGAAUGCUACGAUGAGUGCCACGCAAGUGAGAACAUUUCGUAAAACAGUAGUUUUAUUCAGUCUUAGUUUUAUAACGUAUAUGGGCAUGAAUGUAUGAAUUGAAAUGUAUUGAUAGUACAUUUUUGCACAUAAGCGGGUGCAUGCAUGUGUACAGUAUCCUCCCACAUCUCACCCCCGAAAAAUAGGGCUCCCCCUAAAGCCACAGUGUAAUUUGAAUACUGGUGAAGAUCAUAUAAUCCAAGUGAAGUAACAAUACGCAAAACACAUUUUUGAGUGGACAGGGACAUUAGCCAUAGCUGUGUGAGAUCAGAAAAUGGUUUUAUUAUUGCAACAGUGAUUUGUAAGUAUUUUGGAAGGCACUGACAAACAAUGUCAUCCUGCUGAUAGGGGCAUCAGAUCAGAAAAUGCUUAUGAAGGCCAAUUAAUGUAUUAACAUAUUUUGACGUUUAAUUUGGAGGACUUGUUGGUUUUUUAUAUCGCACCUAUAGUUUGUAGGACAAACUAAAUUAGAUUAGUCAUUCCUGCUACACGAGAUUCUGCAAUUCUUUUAAAAAGAGAAAAGGGAACUAAAUAGGAAAAGUUCCACCAAAGUGAAAAAAAAGCUGUGCCCUCUUAGAUACCUUGAUUUCUCAGAAAAGGAAACCAAGACAAUUCCAAAUAAGGAAUUGGUGUUUAUCAUGUUGUAAGUUGAUUCAUCAGAAUUCGGUUCAUGACUCAACUACAACCUGAGGUAACUGGGCUACUCGUGUAAUUGUGAGUGAAUCUUUUCUGAAGAAGUUCCCUGCUGCACAUUCUAUUUAGUAAGAAAAAAACUUUUUCACAAUUCUUCUUUUUUUUUAUGAUAAAAAAAAUGUCUCUUUUGCACAUCAUACUCAUCAGCUGAAUAAUCAUCAUCAUUUUUCUGCUCUGACUAAUUAAGUAGAGUUCAUGUUUGAUGCUACAGGCAGAUGAAAAGUUAAUAAAGACCAUUAACAAGGAUUACUGCAGGACAGUUUAAAAUUUGGGGGAGUUUGCACUAUUUAUGAGCUGGACACAGCUGAUAGUAGCUGCUACUGCAACUAGCUAAAAUGGAAACAUAUGUCAUAAAGCUGCAGCAAUAACCAUUCAAUGUAUUUGCAUUCUAUAAUUACCUCUCUAUAUAUUUUCAUGGUAGUGGCGGAGUCUGCCUUUCCCGCGUAGGAUUCAAAUUGCCUACUUAUGCAUGAGGGAUUCACAGGAAACAAUGUAUAUAUGUAUGUAUGUUUGUAAUUUUAUCUCAUUGAUAUGUCAGCAUCACUGUUUACUGUUCACUCUCCUAAUGCUGUAUUGUUCAGAGCUGUAUUAACUUAUUGCUAAUGCAAAACAAACAUUUCCUGCUGCUGCUACUUCACAUUAAAGGUUUUUAACUGGAAACAAGGAGUGGCUUCUGUUAAGCAGUCACAGGAAACAGUGUAUUUGUUACAGAGGUCGGCGCUAACUGCGACUGAUCAUCAAAAAUGCAUCUACAAAACAAGAAAUGGUCAUUUUGUCUCCCAAAAGUCUUAAGGAUCCCAAAUACUCUGUGGACUGACAAGACAAAAGUUGAACUUUUUGGAAGGUGUGUGUCCCAUUACAUCUGGUGUAAAAGUAACACAGCAUUUCAGAAAAAGAACAUCAUACCAACAGUAAAAUAUGGUGGUGGUAGUGUGAUGGUCUGGGGCUAUUUUGCUGCUUCAGGACCUGGAAGACUUGCUGUGAUAAAUGGAACCAUCAUUUCUGCUGUCUACCAAAAACUCCUGAAGGAGAAUGUCCGGCCAUCUGUUCGUGACCUCAAGCUGAAGCGAAUUUGGGUUCUGCAGCAGGACAAUGAUCCAAAACACACCAGCAAGUCCACCUCUGAAUGGCUGAAGAACAACAAAAUGAAGACUUUAGAUUGGCCUAGUCAAAGUCCUGACCUGAAUCCUAUUGAGAUGCUGUGGCAUGACCUUUAAAAAGGCAGUUCAUGCUCAAAACCCCCCCGAUGUGGUUGAAUUACAACAAUUCUGCAAAGAUGAAUGGGCCAAAAUUCCUCCACAGCGCUGUAAAAGACGCAUUGCAAGAUAUCGCAAAUGCUUGAUUGCAGUUGCUGCUAAGGGUGGCCUAACCAGUUAUUAGGAUUAGGGGGCAAUCACUUUUUCACACGGGGCCAUGUAGGUUCAUUUAAAAACUGCAUUUUGUGUUUACUUGUGUUAUCUUUGACUAAUAUUUAAAUUUGUUUGAUGAUCUGAAACAUUAAAGUGUGACAAACAUGCAAAAAAACAAGAAAUCAGGAAGGGGGCAAACACUUUUUCACACCCUGUAGAUAAAAAUAGUUUCAUGCAAUAUGUAUUUCAAGGUGUUCCUAUUUAGAGUCCCAAAUAUGGGAGGAAGGAAUUUACAUGUUUACAAAUAGCACCUGAGUUAUCAUUGCUUACUGACCGCUGCAUUACAACAAAUCGCGUCUCAAACGCCCGCGAAAAGCAAGUGUAAAACGUGCCAAUGUUUUGUCUGAGGGAGAGAAAUUGAAAAAUUGACAAAUGACAUGAAAUUUGGCGCCCCUGUACAAUGACCAUACAGUUACCAGUGACAAGGCCUGCAGUGUACAAGGAAAUUGGAAGAAAUAUCGGGGGGGGCAAUACAUUGUUUAAAUUGUGCAAUUUUUCAGUAACCAUAAGUACUGCUGUCCUUCCCUGCUAUUUACAGCCCAAUUAAGCAAAAUAAUGUUCAGAACAAUCAAAUGCUAAUGUUUUACUGUACCUACUGUACAGACAUGAUUGUGUAAUUUGUUUUGAUAUGGACACAGAGCCGUCUCACAGUCAGGGUAACCACAUCUAAAGGCCUCCUGGAGGGUCAUGGAAAAUAUGUGUCACUGAGGCAAACAAUGUAUAGUUGCACUAAUGUGAGGAGAGUCUCUUUGUCUCUCUGUAAGAGUUAUUCUCUCUCUUUUUCAAGAAAUAAAAUUUUAAAAAUGACAUGAUGAAAACUAAUCUAUCUUUCAGUUUUUCUUUCUCCAACUUCCUUCUCUACUAAAAAGAAUCAUUUGGGUCUUUCUAAAUGAGCCUGUGCCAGCAUGACAUAUGUGUGACUAAGCAUGAGUGCUUUUCUGAUUCAUUAAACACACAAGUCAUGGUAUGUCAUGCAACGAGUUCCAUAAUAGCAGUAGAUCAGGUGAUUUAUUAUUAUUAUUAGAUGAGGGAGCCUAAGACACAACUUUCCCUUGAAAAUAGAGCAAAAAUAAAAAGAGAAUAUAAAACAAAACCUGUGAUGUUCAGUUGUAGUCACUCAAGUUAGUUUCCCUGAUUUAAAAAAAUAAUAAUCAUUUUUACCCAUAGGUUUACUCAAAUCACUGCAGAGCAAACAUGCAGGCACAUAGUCACACACAUGCAGAGUUGAAUACACUUGACCUUGUCCUGACUCCUGGCCCAUCUAAAAUCUUCAGGUACUUUCCAUAAGGAUCCGUCCCCAUUUACUGGUAAUCACACCAUACUGUAAGGCCCGCCUUCGUUUCUCUUUGCACCAAUAAGGGAAUUCUUUGCCUCACAGGGUGAAGUUAAUCUGUGAUCUCUGCUGGGAGUGGAAGGUGGCGUAGUUGGUUCUUGAUGAAGUUCCUCCUCUGAGUUUCUUUCAGUUCUUUCUUAAGUUCUUUGAGGAAGAUCUGGCCCCGAACAUUUAGGCAAAACACUAUGUAAGUACAAAACUGAAAUUUCAUUCAUAACCAGCAGCAUUAAUAGAUAAGUCUGAGCCCAAAACUGUUCACCCAUGAAUGUACAUCCAUGCACAAAAACAAUGUCAUAUGCAAGAAAAACAACAGCAUCCCCCCUUGAUUUGUCCAACCAGGAGUCUUAAAUGCAAAAAUAUUCAAUUCAAUAUAAUUUAAGACUAGGGAAAGCAACAAAUUGUCACAUCUGAGAAGCUGGAAUCAUCAAAUGCAUUUUUUUAUCAAUUACAAAAAUAGUUUGAGUGUUUUUGUCAUCAGUGUAUAAAAUAUGAUACAUUGUUUUAAAUUAUACUGCCUAAUAUCUAAUAACACUCACAGGGGCCAUUUUUCUUCAAUAUUGCAUCUAUUGUGUAUUUAGUGUACUGUAUGACAUCUCUUACCAUGCAGUAUGAGAGUCUGAUAAUGCCAGUUAACUUUGUUUUUUACACUUUGUGCACCAAGGUAAUUUCCUGUCCCAUCUGAAAGUACCUGGCAGCUAAGCUACUUCUGAUUCCCAUUCAACCACUAGGGAAUACACCGCCUGCUCUAAAACUUGCAUAAACUUUAAUUACUUUCCUUGUAUCUCACCCAAAAGCCAUUUUAGGAAUUGUUCAAGGACCAAGACACCAUAAGUCCUUAAUCAAGCACCUAAACCCAAACUGGAUACUGGGAAUAGUGAACAGUGUACUGGUGAGAUUCUUGCAUUUGGUCCAUUUUUUUCCCAUCUGUACUGCAAUUCCCAGAUAUGUCUCAUACUCAGUGUGUGAUGCUGUGACACAAUGUUCCCGUAGAAUUUGUUCUCUUUUGUGGAAAUGUUCUUAGUUUUACUUUCUGUAGGCGGUGAACUUUCUGUGUAGCAGAGGAGUUUAGAACAGCAAAAGCUUUCAUAAUUUGACACACUGUAUGCUGUGUCUUCAAAUAGUAGCCUUUAAAUGUAGAUAUUAAAUAUAAUAUAUAAAUAAUUGUCUUCAAAUGUCCAAUAUCAAAUACCACUGAACUGACAAUGGCAUGAAUCAGUUCUGAGUCAGAAUGUAGAAAUACCAGGUUGGGGAAUUAAAGCAGCAGCAGGCAUAUUAGUUGCUCAAAAUGGUCAUCUGACAGUAAUUAUCAGACUAGUCAGACUGGUCUAUAUCCAUCCAUCCAUCCAUCCAUCUUCUUCCGCUUAUCCGGGGCCGGGUCGCGGGGGCAGCAGUCUAAGCAGGGACUCCCAG
This is a long non-coding RNA of Siniperca chuatsi (mandarin fish), 8063 nucleotides long. RefSeq lists it as uncharacterized. The transcript has 5 exons. NCBI's taxonomy places the organism in Eukaryota, Metazoa, Chordata, Actinopteri, Centrarchiformes, Sinipercidae. The record is from RefSeq and is a predicted model, not a curated record.